UUGGGUCACGUGGUCAGCCAAGGGGGCGGGCCCUCGCGGUGCGGGCUCCAAGACUGGUGAGUAAGCAGUCGGCGUCGGGAAUGGGGAGUCCUUGGACCAGAGCAAGGCCUGCUCACCUGAAGACCCCGGCGUGGCGAAGGCUGCUACCGAGACGACGGCGGCGGGGGCGGUGGCGGCGGCGCCCACUCACGAGCUCACACUCAUUCCCUCUCCCGGGGCCCCGGCCCCGCCCUCCCCAAUACAGCCAGUCGGCGGGCGCCUUGGAAAGUUUCCGGCCCUCCAGGAGGCUUCCUGGCUCUUGAUUGGCCAGUGUGAACAGACUGUAGAGACCGGCGGUCACGUGACGCUGAAGAUUCCCGCUUCUUAAAGCAACCUCUCUUGCUACGUUUGCGAGUAGGUGUGUAUUGUUUUAACACACGUUUAAUAAGCAUAUUUUAUUUUUUUUACCACCACAAUAGUAACGAGGAAAUAAACAGUCUCAAAGACA
Molecule: long non-coding RNA, 487 nt
Organism: Homo sapiens (human)
Lineage: Eukaryota; Metazoa; Chordata; Mammalia; Primates; Hominidae
Source: Ensembl